RNAcentral lists this ribosomal RNA (429 nucleotides) under Pseudomonas sp. Z74. RNAcentral's name for it is "bacterial SSU rRNA". It matches the Rfam family "Bacterial small subunit ribosomal RNA", at positions 314 to 737 of the family's 1533-position model. Lineage: Bacteria; Pseudomonadati; Pseudomonadota; Gammaproteobacteria; Pseudomonadales; Pseudomonadaceae. The record is from RNAcentral.
UGGAACUGAGACACGGUCCAGACUCCUACUGGAGGCAGCAGUGGGGAAUAUUGGACAAUGGGCGAAAGCCUGAUCCAGACAUGCCGCGUGUGUAAGAAGGUCUUCGGAUUGUAAAGCACUUUAAGUUGGGAGGAAGGGUACUUACCUAAUACGUGAGUAUUUUGACGUUACCGACAGAAUAAGCACCGGCUAACUCUGUGYCAGCAGCCGCGGUAAUACAGAGGGUGCAAGCGUUAAUCGGAAUUACUGGGCGUAAAGCGCGCGUAGGUGGUUUGUUAAGUUGGAUGUGAAAGCCCCGGGCUCAWCCUGGGAACUGCAUCCAAAACUGGCAAGCUAGAGUAUGGUAGAGGGUGGUGGAAUUUCCUGUGUAGCGGUGAAAUGCGUAGAUAUAGGAAGGAACACCAGUGCGAAGGCGWCCACCUGGACUGA